CCUACGGGAGGCAGCAGUGGGGAAUAUUGCACAAUGGGGGAAACCCUGAUGCAGCGACGCCGCGUGAAGGAAGAAGUAUUUCGGUAUGUAAACUUCUAUCAGCAGGGAAGAAAAUGACGGUACCUGACUAAGAAGCCCCGGCUAACUACGUGCCAGCAGCCGCGGUAAUACGGAGGGAGCAAGCGUUAUCCGGAUUUACUGGGUGUAAAGGGAGCGUAGGCGGUUUAGCAAGUCAGAAGUGAAAGCCCCGGGCUCAACUCCGGGACUGCUUUUGAAACUGGUGAACUUGAUUGCAGGAGAGGUAAGUAGAAUUCCUGGUGUAGCGGUGAAAUGCGUAGAGAUUAGGAGGAAUACCAGUGGCGAAGGCGGCUUACUGGACUGUAAAUGACGCUGAGGUUCGAAAGCGUGGGGAGCAAACAGGAUUAGAUACCCUAGUAGUC
RNAcentral lists this ribosomal RNA (440 nucleotides) under uncultured bacterium. Its description in RNAcentral is "partial 16S ribosomal RNA". It matches the Rfam family "Bacterial small subunit ribosomal RNA", at positions 338 to 795 of the family's 1533-position model. The record is from RNAcentral.